Molecule: small nuclear RNA, 104 nt
Filed under: Phascolarctos cinereus (koala)
Lineage: Eukaryota; Metazoa; Chordata; Mammalia; Diprotodontia; Phascolarctidae
Source: RNAcentral
CUGGUUUCAACAUCACAUAUACUAAAAUUGGAACAAUAUAAAAGAGAUUAGCAUAGCCCCUGUGCAAGGCUGACAUGCAAAUUCAUGAAGCAUUCCGUAUUUUU